GUGUGUUUCUGGUCGACAUUUUCACCAGACAAGAAAAGAUUCUUCUCUUGAACCCUAAAUUACAAAGAAAUGCUCAAAUCGAAGGGGAAAUCAAGCUAAAAAUUGGGGAUUUUAUUAAAUUCGUGAUCACCAAGUCAUGAGGAUCACAAGUUUGACUCUUGACGAGCUAGGUGAAGCUUGGAGGAGAUGAUCAAACGGGAUAAAGACACAAGUAAGAUUUGCUUGGAUGAAAGGUAAGUAAAGCUUACACCUAUUUUUUUAGCAUACGUAUUUAUUCUAUAGGUGAUAAAUACAACAAUAGAUCAUGUUCGAAUUAUGGGUUCCGACACGAAACGAAAUGGGUUGGAACGAAUAAAAAUGUUUAAAAUCAUGAUUAAUGGUGAAAGAGGUAAAAUGGUAAUUUAGUCAUAAAUCGACUAAGAAUUUAUGAGUUUUCUUAAAGUUACCUCAUAGCUUAACUAAUAAUGGAAAAAGGGGUAAAAUGGUAAUUUAGUCACGUGAUGACUUAUUGUAAUCGAGAUUAAAAGGAUAUCCACGGCGUAAGCCGAACUGGGUCAAAUAUGUAAGAAAAAAAGGAAAUUUUUGUGGUAAAAUCCGUAAUGGGUCGGAUGCGUGAUUGAGUAAUUAGAAACCAUGAUUUGUAAUAAAUAUAAUUGUUUGGUCGUAUAGACCAAAUGGGUCAAAUGAUGGUGAUAACAUCAUAUGACCAUAUCGACUAAUGUUGGUUGUUAAGUCAUAUGUUUACAGGAACGAAUAGCAAUUUGGAUAAUUGUGUCGUCAUAGAAUAUUGAAUUAAUAAUAGCAAGGGAUAAACGGGUCUAUACGUUGACUCGAGCCAGGUACGCUUAUAUAUAGAUUUAUAGUUAAAAGUGUUUAACUUCCCUUAACGGGUCAAAAUGAGUAGAUAGGUAAAACGGGUUAAGAAUUCAUAAGAAACCCGUAAUUUGAACCUUGCAUAUUAAUAAAUUGAUAUAACGUGAUAUGCAUGAUAUUUUGAAAAGGUAAUAAACAAGUUUGUUUGAUAAAUCACGAACGGGUCAAAAAGUGUCAUAAUUGAAUUUCAAGCCGAGAGCUUGAAAGUUAAAAUUUUGUGAAUUUAGAUGUCGGGUUUUCACUCCGUAAGAUGGAGAAUUAAAUUACGAACGCAUAGGAAAAAGAAUCGCGAAGAACGGACUUGUAGAAUGAAAGUUAUGCCAAUUUAAAGUUCGAAAUUUGUUAAAAUUGGAGCUGGACAGAAAAUGCAGGUUCAGAUAUAAACAUGCUGGAAACUGGUCUCCCCCGCGGCACGCGAAGGGGAAAUAAGGUCCGGGCGCGACACGCGAUAGGCGUCGCGGCACACGACACAUCUACUUGAGUCUCUUGCGACCCGCGAGAGACAUAAAGGCUGGAAAAAUUAUUUUUGGUUAAUUGCUUGUUGCGUAGAACUUGUUUAAACUUAUAUUUAAGUUAUCAAAACUACCUUUUAGGUUGGUUUUGAUCAUAGGUGAAUAUCGAAAGUACCCGGAUGAAGAUCAAGCGAUGAGAAAGAACCGAACACAUGAAGAAGAAGCUUCCACACGUUGUUUCGUCGAAAUUUUUUAAACGACAAACUAAACUACAUUAUGUUGUUCUAAAUUUUAAAUUGUAAAAGUUUUAAUAAACCCGUGCUUUGUAAUGUAUAUGUGCUCUUAAUCACAUGUUUAUUAUCGUAAAUUAUACGAAAAUCGUUAAAUAAUAUUAAGGGUGUUACAAGUUGGUAAUCAGAGCUCAUGGUUAAAGAGUAAAGUGUGUUCGGUUCGAAGCUUGAUCGCAAAUCCGGUAAGUACAUUUAUGUUAAUGGUUUAGUAUGAUUAAAGUGUUGCGAACAACACAUAGGGUUAUCGUGUAAUACUGGUUACCCCAAUGAAAAUGAUGGUAUAGUUAACGAAAUCACGUGCAUUGACACGUAUAGUAAAAAGCCUUGUAUAACAAUACGGGUGUUUAUUAAUGUCGAAAUUACUAACUCUUGUAAAUAUUUAGUUGAAGGAUACUCGCAUCUGAAGAUGGCGAGAGUGUAACAAGUGACGGACAUGACAGAGGAACGGUCCGAAGUACGACAAGUAGAGUAUGCUCAUCAAGGACCUAAAUCGCGUGAUGACCGCGAACAAGGUUAAUGACAUGGAAAGCCCAUUAGGGCAAGCAUUACUAGGCGCACACUUUUAAAUUAAAUCGCACAAAUAGUAAUAUGCAACAAACAUGUAGAGAAUGACGGUUGCAUACGUAGGAUAAAACUUGGGAAACCUGAAUAGGAUAUCUAUUCAGGAUGAUGUUUCUAAGUGAAAACAAAUAGAAACAUGUGUUAUUCACCAUUGUGAAUAACAAGACAAUAAUAGAAAUAGUUUAUGUGAAAACUUGGACGGGAAUAAAUAUCCAAGUGAAUUAUUCUCAAUAUAAUACUAUUGAAAAAAGUAGCGAUCACAUUAACGAAUUUGAUGAUAUAAUAGCUAGGUAAAAAGGAAAACAUUUUAUAUGUUCAAAGAAUAAAACGGGUAAAACUAAUAAUUGAUAAAUAACAAUUAAAUAAAGUUUUACCAACUGAAACCAAAGAUAUGGAAAUAAACAGAGACGUUACUUACAUAGGGUGUAAUGUGAAAAUUAUAAAAAGGUCAUGUGUGUCAUGUGUUUAUCGCUUACUCUGGCCAAGUAAGUAGUGAACACAUGAUGUCAUGAACUUUUUAUGAUGGACACAUUUACGUCCGAUGUAGUAAGGACGGGGUGAAUGGGACGAAUUAAAAAAAAGGUACCCAAAUGAAUCAAACAAGUAAGAUGUUUGAUAGUAAACGUAAACGCAAGUCGGAGGACGGAAGCGUAUUACGUUAGGACAACGAGCCGAGAGAAGGGACAAAGAUCAAGGUAAAUGAAAAUACAAACCGACUGAUAGGAAUGCUAAGGUA
This 2912-nucleotide long non-coding RNA is filed under the name Helianthus annuus (common sunflower). Its description in RNAcentral is "hypothetical non coding rna". The record is from RNAcentral. Lineage: Eukaryota; Viridiplantae; Streptophyta; Magnoliopsida; Asterales; Asteraceae.